CCCGCAGCUUUCUUUCGCAGCGCCCCCAUGGAAACCCUAGCCGUUGGAUCGCGCUGCGCCGGCGAUCGGGGUUCUCCUACCUCGCCGCCUUCCCAAAAUACCCCAUCGUCAUCGCGCUUCUCGGCUUCGCCAUCGCCAAGUGCAUCAAGUUCUUCAUGACCAGAAUUGCGAAUCGCCAAGCACACCAUUGCGGAGUGGAUCUGCUCAGAUCGCUGUCGUUUAAGACCGAGCCUCCAAAUCUUGCAGGAAAAAAAGAACGAAAUCAUAGCGAGGGCGGUGGCCGGCGUUACUUUCAAUCUCUAUAAGUCAGUCGAGCAACUGGCCGUCCUUGGGCCUUGGCAAAGAAGUUGUAGCGCUGACUCAUCCGUUCUCUGCAACUACUCUGUCUCUCGCAAUCUCACAAUUGAGCGAGCCCGAUAAAAGAUACAUUUAGAUUUUAGUUUAUGGUGAGGGGGGAGAGGCAUGUAGGGGGGCAUCAAAUCCAAGCAAGGCCAUCGCCAUGCUCAUCCAGGGAGGAGUGCAGACUAUGUGGGCGACCUCAAGGCUGGGCCGGCCAAAAUUACCACCCGGCGGCUCUUCCUCUUUUACCAUAGGGGAGAACCCUACAGCGCCACCGUUUCCUCGUGCUCGCAGCUGCUUGCCCCGCUGUCCUCGGAUCAGUGGCGUCCACUGCCACUCCAGAAUCAUCCUGAUUAAAUCUCUGCAAAACCUAAGUUUACUAUUUGCAAUCUGGUCGGCACCAGCCGUUGGAUCAAUUUUACAGGGCGUCAGUACUAGAGAAUUAGGUUGGCUGUCCUAUGGCCUCACUCGAAAACCUCCAGCUGCUGGUCACUGGUCUUUGUACUAAUCUGAAUGAUGUUAGCUGCAAUUACUUUUGAAUCAAAUGCCAAGUCAAUGGUUAACUACGGUUUUGCUAUUCUGGAGACAUGUUUAAUUACAGGAAAAUAGGCUGCUACUGUCUUUUACUGUCCUUGCAGGACGUGAGCAAGGUCUGCAUUGCCCUUUUUAUGUGAGAUGACAAAAAAUCUUAAAUAAAGGUAACUACAUAGCAUGCAAUGUACGUUUGUCGUUUAGUAAUCAUGUAAAUUUAUAUGUACAGAAACUAAUAUGUGGGUGAAGACAUCAUUUUCAUCCCAAUGAUAAAAGUACCGAUUAGCAUGGAAUGCCUCAUGCUAUAUUACUUGUGCUUGAAUUCACAACAUUGUGUUUCCUGAAUAAUUUAAGAACAGUAAAGAGCUCGGGACCAACACCUAUUAAGCCAAGGAACAUGCUGAUCAUCUUGUAAUGAUUUUCCUGCUUAUGCUCUGCUGCUCAUUUAUUGUGUUUUCGCUCUAUUUGGCACUUGUACUGGCCUAAUACAGCUUGGUUUCAAAGUGUCGUGCUUGGUUUCAGUCAGCUGAAAAUAAUUUAUGCAAGAG
This is a long non-coding RNA of Triticum aestivum (bread wheat), 1418 nucleotides long. RefSeq lists it as uncharacterized. Lineage: Eukaryota; Viridiplantae; Streptophyta; Magnoliopsida; Poales; Poaceae. The transcript has 4 exons. The record is from RefSeq and is a predicted model, not a curated record.